RNAcentral lists this ribosomal RNA (433 nucleotides) under uncultured bacterium. Its description in RNAcentral is "partial 16S ribosomal RNA". It matches the Rfam family "Bacterial small subunit ribosomal RNA", at positions 30 to 507 of the family's 1533-position model. The record is from RNAcentral.
AGCGAACGCUGGCGGCAUGCUUAACACAUGCAAGUCGCACGGGCAGCAAUGUCGGUGGCGGACGGGUGAGUAGCGCGUAGGAACGUGUCCUGGGGUGGGGGACAACCCCGGGAAACUGGGGCUAAUACCGCGUAUGGCCUGAGGCACUAAGCCGAGCGGCGCCCUUGGAGCGGCCUGCGUCCGAGUAGGUAGUGGGUGGGGUAAAGGCCUACCAAGGCUGCGAUCGGUAGCUGGUCUGAGAGCACCACCAGCCACACUGGGACUAGGACACGGCCCAGACUCCUGCGGGAGGGAGCAGUGGGGAAUAUUGGACAACGGGCGAAAGCCUGAACCAGCAAUGCCGCGUGGGUGAAGAAGGUCGUCGGGACGUGAAGCCCUUUAGACGGGGGCGAUGAUGACGGUACCCGUAGAAGAAGCCCCGGCUAACUUCGUG